AGCAGCCGCGGUAAUUCCAGCUCCAAUAGCGUAUAUUAAAGUUGUUGCAGUUAAAAAGCUCGUAGUUGAAUUUCGAGAUCAAAUUGUUGGUCGUGCCUCGGUACGUACUGGCAUUAUUGAUUUCUCCCUUCUGAAGAACCUUGAUGUCAUUAAUUUGGUGUCUUGGGGAAUCAGGACCGUUACUUUGAAAAAAUUAGAGUGUUUAAAGCAGGCUCACGCUUGAAUACAUUAGCAUGGAAUAAUGAAAUAGGACGUUUGAUUCUAUUUUGUUGGUUUCUAGGAUCGACGUAAUGAUUAAUAGGGAUAGUUGGGGGCAUUAGUAUUCAAUUGUCAGAGGUGAAAUUCUUGGAUUUAUUGAAGACUAACUACUGCGAAAGCAUUUGCCAAGGAUGUUUUCAUUAAUCAAGAACGAAAGUUAGGGGAUCGAAGACGAUCAGAUACCGUCGUAGUCUUAACCAUAAACUAUGCCGACUAGGGAUCGGAUGAUGUUAAUUUUUAAUGACUCAUUCGGCGCCU
Molecule: ribosomal RNA, 516 nt
Filed under: uncultured Glomus
Lineage: Eukaryota; Fungi; Glomeromycota; Glomeromycetes; Glomerales; Glomeraceae
Description: SSU rRNA
Rfam family: Eukaryotic small subunit ribosomal RNA
Source: RNAcentral